CAUCUUGCUUACAUUCCUGUGGAACAUAUUGUUGCCUCUGCAUGUUACAAUGUGAUCUUUUGGAUGUAGGGCAAAUCU
Molecule: microRNA precursor, 78 nt
Organism: Homo sapiens (human)
Lineage: Eukaryota; Metazoa; Chordata; Mammalia; Primates; Hominidae
Source: Ensembl